UUACUUGAUAAAGCACAAUUAUUGGAGGAUGCAGAUGUAAGUCAAAUUAAUUUGUC
RNAcentral lists this small RNA (56 nucleotides) under Staphylococcus aureus. RNAcentral's name for it is "HMPRNC0000_1734". Lineage: Bacteria; Bacillati; Bacillota; Bacilli; Caryophanales; Staphylococcaceae. The record is from RNAcentral.